CUGGGACUGUCAGCUCUGCAAGGCACCCUUGUGGCCCAGGGCCUACUUGUCCAGAUGCAAAAUCUCUGUUCACCUCCAUGUGGGAAUCUCAGAAAGAGGUUGUGAUAGGAUUUCACUUCUUGUUCCCCAAGGAGCCUUUCUGCAUUUUUCUACAGUUAAUCCUGUAUUAACUCCAUCCCAGGUAUCCAUGUGGGCCUGAGAAUCCUAAUGCUUCUCACCCCUGGUUCAGCCCCUCUCACCCCAGUUCUCAUCCCCAGAAUGGGAUGUUGUGGUCACCACCACAGGGAUGAUGCAUACAAAGUGCCCCGAGAUGCCUACACAUAACCAUGGCCCAGCGCCAGUUCACUCGUGAUGCCAGGACGAUUAUUCUGCGGAGGGCACUGCUGCCCCUCCUCCUGACAUGAGUCCUGGAGGCUUGGGGACUCGGUUUGAGCUCCAGAACGUGCCUUCCUGGAAUCUUUGGUGCCGCAUCUGACUCGUGUCUCUGCUGUGUUCCACCCCAGGGGGAAAGUGUCCACAGGGAACAGGAAUGAGACCGGCAGGUUGUGGAGUGUCCGGAGACGCAGACUGGAGACGUUGGUGGACAACCUGGUGCCUGCAUUCCUGGGUGGUGACCCUGCCUACCUCCCCACAUUCCUGGGCACCUACAGGGCUUUUGGCACCCCCCAGCAGGUGCUGGACCUUCUCUUCACGAGAGCCUGAAUCACCUGGAAAUCCUGUGCAAGCGCUCUUUCUACAGUUCAGUCCCCAGGCUUAAGCCAACCUGGGCCAGGGCACUGCCUGGGCUCUGGAGCCUCUUGGUGCUUUGCAAUCAGCUGUGGCUCCGGUGUUAUCCAGCUGUGGUUCUAGAGACCCCAGCAGACCUACCUUGUGUAGCAGCUGUGGCGCUGGAGCCAGUUCCUCCAUUAACAUCCCUGGAGCCGGUCUCAGAUCAUCAGUGAGCCUUGGUAUCACCGAAUCGAUGGGCAUGAGUUUGAGUCAACUCCAGGAGUUGAUGAUGGACAGGAAGGCCUGCCGUGCUGCAAUUCAUGGGGUCGAAAAGAGUCGGACACGACUGAGCGACUGAACUGAACUGACUGAACUGAACCAGUGAUGCCAUCCAGCCAUCUCAUCCUGUGUCGUCCCCUUCUCCUCCUGCCCCCAAUCCCUCCCAGCAUCAGAGUCUUUGACCCAUG
This 1175-nucleotide long non-coding RNA is filed under the name Bos indicus x Bos taurus (hybrid cattle). RNAcentral describes it as "lncRNA (ENSBIXG00005003719.1)". The record is from RNAcentral. Lineage: Eukaryota; Metazoa; Chordata; Mammalia; Artiodactyla; Bovidae.